CUCUUUGAAAAGGACAACUAUUUUGUUUAUGUUGUUAUAUAUCUUAUUGCACUUCUUGAUGUUUGCAGGGCUUGUAGUCCCAGAUGUUCCAUUAGAAGAGACUGAUAAUUUAAGAAAGGAAGCUCUGAAAAAGAAUAUUGUACUGGUAUUGCUAACCACACCCACUACUCCUAAUGAUCGAAUGAAAGCCAUUGUUCAAGCUGCUGAAGGAUUUGUCUAUCUGGAUUAAUUGUUGAUUGCAAUUUGAGCAAGAGCUUGGUUUUGCAGGAUUUUCUAUAAUGAAGGACUUUGGAUUUUGAUUGAUUUAUUGAGGUAUUUACUCUUCAAAUGUGUUUAUUCUCUGUAUUUAGGCUUGUUUAUUUUGGUUUUUUUUUUCAUUAUGUGUUAUAAGUUUAAGAGAAUACAUGUUUCAAUUGAAUUUUUGUAAAACUUUAAUGUAUGUAGAAAAAUAUAUGUUGUUCUAAUAGAACCCAAUAUAGAGUUAAGUGGAGGUU
Humulus lupulus (European hop) is the source of this 494-nucleotide long non-coding RNA. RefSeq lists it as uncharacterized. The transcript is spliced from 3 exons. The record is from RefSeq and is a predicted model, not a curated record. Lineage: Eukaryota; Viridiplantae; Streptophyta; Magnoliopsida; Rosales; Cannabaceae.